Long non-coding RNA from Gallus gallus (chicken), 2846 nucleotides. The record is from Ensembl. NCBI's taxonomy places the organism in Eukaryota, Metazoa, Chordata, Aves, Galliformes, Phasianidae.
AUUUUUCUUUGUUUUCUCUCUCCCAUUGGUACAAUUCUGUAACGUGUUCACUACUUUAACCUACAGUGUGUAAUUCCUUCAGGAGUUCUGCCAGCGUGCAGCCUGCAAGGGAAGCCUCUUGGGGUCACUUGGAGCUACCUAUAGCUACCAGCAUCCACCCCUCAACACAGCCUUUUUCACAUUUUGCAGGUACAUUAAGCCCAGUGUUGGUAUGAGUUUUUCAUUACCUAAAGUCAGUUUGGUUAUGUUGAUGUACCAUUGGUCCUUGCCUGAAAUGCUGAGAGCUCCUGCAAAAGGCCUUUCUGGUGCACAGGUGAGCUUUAGCUACGGCAAAAUGUUUUGCCUAAGGAGGGUGUUUGUUGACCACAGCUUUCAUCUCAGAGCUUUAAGAAAUACUGGCCUGUGCUGCUAGGUGCCCUGAAGGCUUGAGUUGUGGUGAACCUGACUCAGUACCGUAUGGCAAACAAGGAAAAAGGGUGGUGGACCAAAGUCUGGCUUCAUGUAACACGAUUUAACUGUUGUAGGUUUCAUGUUGACUAAGUAGGAGGUUGAACAUGAAGGCAGAUCCCACAUUACCGACUUGACUGAAUAUGGUGAGCAAGAUUUAGCCUCAUUUUUGCCUUGUGUAACUCCUCUAAGUCAAGAGUUGCAUCAGAAGUUAGUGAGUUUUCUAUUCUCUUUUUCUAUGAGCGUUCUUAAAGGUACACACUUGGUGACUUAAGAAAUUGAGACAGCCUUUGGUUUUUAAUUCAGUCAUCAAGACAUUUAAUUCAGUCGUUCUUAGCUUUUUCAUGUGAGGAUGAAGAGAACAGCGCCUGCCCAGAGAGGGCCCAGCUAAUACUUGGCUACUGAAACCUGCUGUGAUUUACAGUCUUAUUCCAUCUCCAGUAUUAGAUGUUUCAUACUUUUCAAGAGAGAAAAAUAAAAAAAAAUAAUAAAAAAAAGAUUUUUCAGGCUUGCCGACUUCAUCAGCACAGUGUUACUGGGUCGUAUGUGUGUUGAGUAAUUUCCUUUCAUUCAGCAAAAGCUAGCUACAUUCAAAAAUACAGGACACAGCAAAUGCAGGAAGAAGAAAUUGUCCAGUUUUAGUUUGCAGGUUAUCAGGAAGCAAAAACAAACUAAGAUGUGUUCACUGCAUUAUAGCUGCUAAUCUAGGAUGGAACUUCAUAUAGUUUCUAAGUGGGCAGUGCUAGAAAUACGGAAGUUCUUUAUCAUAAAGAUAUGCUCUGAGUCCAGCUCGUGAAAAUACAUUUGAAGAGCCAAGCAUGUGAAUGAGUGUUCACUGGAGUACAAUCUAUUACAUUGCAUGGGAUGCCCCAUCCCUGGAGGCAUUCAAAGCCAGGCUGGAUGUGGCUCUGGGCAGCCUGGUCUGGUGGUUGGCGACCCUGCACAUAGCAGGGGGGUUAAACUCGAUGAUCACUGUGGUCUUUUUCAACCUAGGCCAUUCUAUGAUUCUAUGAUGAUUCUCUGAUUACGCUGGUGAGUUACAACAUGAGCAUUUUAUCACAGCAGACACAUUUAACCCAUAACUGUUUUUAAAAUUAGCAUUUAUUUUCUCUUUUGCUCCCCUUGAUGUUUUCAAAGCAGGGCUCACAGUUUCCUAGACCACUGGCUGAAGCUCUUCCCACGCAAAUUCUGUGGCAUUUUGAGACAGACAUACAUUUUUAGUCCACCAUACUCAUGAGAAAAGCUCAAUCUGAUGGACGUGUUCAAAAUAUACUGUUUGCAUGCAGCUGAGCACAUGCACAGCAGCUUCCCUCAUGAGGAACACUGGAGAAGGUACUGGGCUAUACUGCUAUUAUGGCAAAAUCAUUCACAGUGUGUGAGCUCAGGCCUUCCCAGUGCCUAGCUCUCCUAUCUGAGAAUUCCCCAAGGUGUCAAGCCAAGGGGAUGGUGUCUCUGAGUGUUGUUUUGGAACUGGGUCACUGAAAAAGCAAUGCAAGGCGCACUGAGGAAGUGACUACUUGCUUUGACUACUGCAUUUAUUUUCAGGCCCCUCACUACAAGAAUGACAUCAAGGGCACUGGAACAUGUUCAGAGAAGGGCAAUGAAGCUGAGAGGUCUGGAGCACAAGUAUUACAGAGAGUGGCUGAGGGAACUGGGAUCACUCAGGGGAGACCUUAUUGCUCUCUACAACUCCCUGAGAGGAAGCUGUGGCGGGGUGGGGGUCAGCCUCUUCUCCUGCAUAAGUAGUGAUAGGAUGAGAGGGAAUGGCCUCAAGUUGUGCCAGAGGAGGUUCAGGUUGGAUAUUAGAAGAAAUUUCUUCUUAGAAAGAGCAGUGCUGCAGUGGCACAGGCUGCCCAGGGAGGUGGUGCAGUCACUGCCCCUGGAGGUGUUCAAGAACCGUGUGGGUGUGGCACUGAGAGAAAUGAUUUUGUGGGUGAUACUGGUGGUGGGUGGGUGGUCGAACAAGAUGAUCUUAGAGGUCUUUUCCAAUCUGAACCAUUCUAUGAUUCCCUUGCAAAACUGCUGACAUGCAGUGAAGAGUUGGGCCUGCACUCUGCUGGGUGCCUAACUGCACCAUGGCAAGCUCUGCAUCAUUCCAUGGCAGUUUUUACCCUGUUUAAUACCAAGGCUGCAAGGAGCGCUUCUUUCUCUAUGCAUAAAUAAAGACAGCAGGCAGUGAAUAUCCAUGCUGGAACAGCUGACGCGCCCAAGUGCUUGGCUACGGAUCUCUUUGUUUCUUAGUCACGUCUGUGGAAACACCUCGUAGCGCUAGUGACUUAAGCCCUCACACAGCGCCCUCACUGACCCAAACCCCCUGGCGCCAUCCCCGUGGGCAGCAGCACCGCGCAGGGCCACCUGCACGACCCGUCACCACCCCGUCGGUGCCGGAGCCCCUCCCC